This 189-nucleotide ribosomal RNA is filed under the name Fusarium oxysporum. Its description in RNAcentral is "partial 18S ribosomal RNA". It matches the Rfam family "Eukaryotic small subunit ribosomal RNA", at positions 1655 to 1831 of the family's 1831-position model. Lineage: Eukaryota; Fungi; Ascomycota; Sordariomycetes; Hypocreales; Nectriaceae. The record is from RNAcentral.
UCCCUUUGUACACACCGCCCGUCGCUACUACCGAUUGAAUGGCUCAGUGAGGCGUCCGGACUGGCCCAGAGAGGUGGGCAACUACCACUCAGGGCCGGAAAGCUCUCCAAACUCGGUCAUUUAGAGGAAGUAAAAGUCGUAACAAGGUCUCCGUUGGUGAACCAGCGGAGGGAUCAUUACCGAGUUUAC